UCCGGCUGGCGGCGCGCCUAUACAUGCAGUCGAGCGGAUCUUUGGGAGCUUGCUCCCAAAGAUUAGCGGCGGACGGGUGAGUAACACGUGGGCAACCUGCCUGUAAGACUGGGAUAACUCCGGGAAACCGGGGCUAAUACCGGAUAAUUCAUUCUCUCUCAUGAGGGAAUGCUGAAAGACGGUUUCGGCUGUCACUUACAGAUGGGCCCGCGGCGCAUUAGCUAGUUGGUGAGGUAACGGCUCACCAAGGCCACGAUGCGUAGCCGACCUGAGAGGGUGAUCGGCCACACUGGGACUGAGACACGGCCCAGACUCCUACGGGAGGCAGCAGUAGGGAAUCUUCCGCAAUGGACGAAAGUCUGACGGAGCAACGCCGCGUGAGCGAUGAAGGCCUUCGGGUCGUAAAGCUCUGUUGUUAGGGAAGAACAAGUACCGGAGUAACUGCCGGUACCUUGACGGUACCUAACCAGAAAGCCACGGCUAACUACGUGCCAGCAGCCGCGGUAAUACGUAGGUGGCAAGCGUUGUCCGGAAUUAUUGGGCGUAAAGCGCGCGCAGGUGGUUCCUUAAGUCUGAUGUGAAAGCCCACGGCUCAACCGUGGAGGGUCAUUGGAAACUGGGGAACUUGAGUGCAGAAGAGGAAAGUGGAAUUCCACGUGUAGCGGUGAAAUGCGUAGAGAUGUGGAGGAACACCAGUGGCGAAGGCGACUUUCUGGUCUGUAACUGACACUGAGGCGCGAAAGCGUGGGGAGCGAACAGGAUUAGAUACCCUGGUAGUCCACGCCGUAAACGAUGAGUGCUAAGUGUUAGAGGGUUUCCGCCCUUUAGUGCUGCAGCAAACGCAUUAAGCACUCCGCCUGGGGAGUACGGCCGCAAGGCUGAAACUCAAAGGAAUUGACGGGGGCCCGCACAAGCGGUGGAGCAUGUGGUUUAAUUCGAAGCAACGCGAAGAACCUUACCAGGUCUUGACAUCCUUUUGACACCUCUUGGAGGACAGAACUGUUCCCUUCGGGGGACAUAAGUGACAGGUGGUGCAUGCUGUCGUCAGCUCGUGUCGUGAGUGUUGGGUUAGUCCCGCAACGAGCGCAACCCUUGGUCCUUAGUUGCCAGCAU
RNAcentral lists this ribosomal RNA (1113 nucleotides) under Neobacillus novalis. RNAcentral describes it as "bacterial SSU rRNA". It matches the Rfam family "Bacterial small subunit ribosomal RNA", at positions 31 to 1124 of the family's 1533-position model. Lineage: Bacteria; Bacillati; Bacillota; Bacilli; Caryophanales; Bacillaceae. The record is from RNAcentral.